GCUUACACUUGAUCACUAAACUUUAGGUAAAGUUUCCUGUUGACCAUAUGAAUU
RNAcentral lists this small nucleolar RNA (54 nucleotides) under Olea europaea subsp. europaea. The record is from RNAcentral. Lineage: Eukaryota; Viridiplantae; Streptophyta; Magnoliopsida; Lamiales; Oleaceae.